UAGGAAUGGUGGUGCACGCUUGUAAUCAAU
RNAcentral lists this non-coding RNA (30 nucleotides) under Rattus norvegicus (Norway rat). Lineage: Eukaryota; Metazoa; Chordata; Mammalia; Rodentia; Muridae. The record is from RNAcentral.